RNAcentral lists this ribosomal RNA (445 nucleotides) under uncultured bacterium. RNAcentral's name for it is "partial 16S ribosomal RNA". It matches the Rfam family "Bacterial small subunit ribosomal RNA", at positions 354 to 796 of the family's 1533-position model. The record is from RNAcentral.
GUGAGGAAUAUUGGUCAAUGGGCGGGAGCCUGAACCAGCCAAGUCGCGUGAAGGAAGAAGGAUCUAUGGUUCGUAAACUUCUUUUGCAGGGGAAUAAAGUGCAGGACGUGUCCUGUUUUGUAUGUACCCUGAGAAUAAGGAUCGGCUAACUCCGUGCCAGCAGCCGCGGUAAUACGGAGGAUCCGAGCGUUAUCCGGAUUUAUUGGGUUUAAAGGGUGCGUAGGUGGUUUGAUAAGUCAGCGGUGAAAGUUUGCAGCUUAACUGUAAAAAUGCCGUUGAAACUGUCGGACUUGAGUGUAAAUGAGGUAGGCGGAAUGCGUGGUGUAGCGGUGAAAUGCAUAGAUAUCACGCAGAACUCCGAUUGCGAAGGCAGCUUACUAAGCUACAACUGACACUGAAGCACGAAAGCGUGGGGAGCAAACAGGAUUAGAAACCCGAGUAGUCC